CCUACGGGAGGCAGCAGUGGGGAAUAUUGCGCAAUGGGCGAAAGCCUGACGCAGCGACGCCGCGUGAGGGAUGAAGGUCUUCGGAUCGUAAACCUCUGUCAGCAGGGAAGAACGGUCACUGUGCUAAUCAGCAGUGAAUUGACGGUACCUGCAAAGGAAGCACCGGCUAACUCCGUGCCAGCAGCCGCGGUAAUACGGAGGGUGCGAGCGUUAAUCGGAAUUACUGGGCGUAAAGCGCUCGUAGGCGGUAUGUCAAGUCAAGGGUGAAAGCCCCGUGCUCAACGUGGGAACUGCCUUUGAAACUGGCAAACUGGAGUGUGUGAGAGGAUAGUGGAAUACCUGGUGUAGGAGUGAAAUCCGUAGAUAUCUGGAGGAACAUCAGUGGCGAAGGCGACUAUCUGGCACAUAACUGACGCUGAGGAGCGAAAGCGUGGGUAGCAAACAGGAUUAGAUACCCCUGUAGUC
Molecule: ribosomal RNA, 465 nt
Filed under: uncultured bacterium
Lineage: Bacteria
Description: partial 16S ribosomal RNA
Rfam family: Bacterial small subunit ribosomal RNA
Source: RNAcentral